This 1372-nucleotide ribosomal RNA is filed under the name uncultured bacterium. Its description in RNAcentral is "bacterial SSU rRNA". It matches the Rfam family "Bacterial small subunit ribosomal RNA", at positions 28 to 1381 of the family's 1533-position model. The record is from RNAcentral.
GAUGAACGCUGGCGGCGUGCCUAAUACAUGCAAGUCGAGCGAACGGACGAGAAGCUUGCUUCUCUGAUGUUAGCGGCGGACGGGUGAGUAACACGUGGAUAACCUACCUAUAAGACUGGGAUAACUUCGGGAAACCGGAGCUAAUACCGGAUAAUAUUUUGAACCGCAUGGUUCAAAAGUGAAAGACGGUCUUGCUGUCACUUAUAGAUGGAUCCGCGCUGCAUUAGCUAGUUGGUAAGGUAACGGCUUACCAAGGCAACGAUGCAUAGCCGACCUGAGAGGGUGAUCGGCCACACUGGAACUGAGACACGGUCCAGACUCCUACGGGAGGCAGCAGUAGGGAAUCUUCCGCAAUGGGCGAAAGCCUGACGGAGCAACGCCGCGUGAGUGAUGAAGGUCUUCGGAUCGUAAAACUCUGUUAUUAGGGAAGAACAUAUGUGUAAGUAACUGUGCACAUCUUGACGGUACCUAAUCAGAAAGCCACGGCUAACUACGUGCCAGCAGCCGCGGUAAUACGUAGGUGGCAAGCGUUAUCCGGAAUUAUUGGGCGUAAAGCGCGCGUAGGCGGUUUUUUAAGUCUGAUGUGAAAGCCCACGGCUCAACCGUGGAGGGUCAUUGGAAACUGGAAAACUUGAGUGCAGAAGAGGAAAGUGGAAUUCCAUGUGUAGCGGUGAAAUGCGCAGAGAUAUGGAGGAACACCAGUGGCGAAGGCGACUUUCUGGUCUGUAACUGACGCUGAUGUGCGAAAGCGUGGGGAUCAAACAGGAUUAGAUACCCUGGUAGUCCACGCCGUAAACGAUGAGUGCUAAGUGUUAGGGGGUUUCCGCCCCUUAGUGCUGCAGCUAACGCAUUAAGCACUCCGCCUGGGGAGUACGACCGCAAGGUUGAAACUCAAAGGAAUUGACGGGGACCCGCACAAGCGGUGGAGCAUGUGGUUUAAUUCGAAGCAACGCGAAGAACCUUACCAAAUCUUGACAUCCUUUGACAACUCUAGAGAUAGAGCCUUCCCCUUCGGGGGACAAAGUGACAGGUGGUGCAUGGUUGUCGUCAGCUCGUGUCGUGAGAUGUUGGGUUAAGUCCCGCAACGAGCGCAACCCUUAAGCUUAGUUGCCAUCAUUAAGUUGGGCACUCUAAGUUGACUACCGGUGACAAACCGGAGGAAGGUGGGGAUGACGUCAAAUCAUCAUGCCCCUUAUGAUUUGGGCUACACACGUGCUACAAUGGACAAUACAAAGGGCAGCGAAACCGCGAGGUCAAGCAAAUCCCAUAAAGUUGUUCUCAGUUCGGAUUGUAGUCUGCAACUCGACUACAUGAAGCUGGAAUCGCUAGUAAUCGUAGAUCAGCAUGCUACGGUGAAUACGUUCCCGGGUCU